UACGUAGGGGGCAAGCGUUAUCCGGAUUUACUGGGUGUAAAGGGAGCGUAGACGGCAAGGCAAGUCUGAAGUGAAAGCCCGGUGCUUAACGCCGGGGCUGCUUUGGAAACUGUUUAGCUGGAGUGCCGGAGAGGUAAGCGGAAUUCCUAGUGUAGCGGUGAAAUGCGUAGAUAUUAGGAAGAACACCAGUGGCGAAGGCGGCUUACUGGACGGUAACUGACGUUGAGGCUCGAAAGCGUGGGGAGCAAACAGG
Molecule: ribosomal RNA, 253 nt
Filed under: Fusicatenibacter saccharivorans
Lineage: Bacteria; Bacillati; Bacillota; Clostridia; Lachnospirales; Lachnospiraceae
Description: partial 16S ribosomal RNA
Rfam family: Bacterial small subunit ribosomal RNA
Source: RNAcentral